UGCCCCGUGGCUGAGUUGGUUACAGCGUCCGACUGUUACACCAGGUUCGCAGGUCUACUUCAAUCGGAAGGUCGUGAGUUCGAGCCUCACCGGGGCAG
Molecule: non-coding RNA, 98 nt
Organism: Lentinus tigrinus ALCF2SS1-7
Lineage: Eukaryota; Fungi; Basidiomycota; Agaricomycetes; Polyporales; Polyporaceae
Source: the annotation of a GenBank genome assembly